GACGAACGCUGGCGGCGUGCCUAAUACAUGCAAGUAGAACGCUGACUACUUUAGCUUGCUAGAGUAGAAGGAGUUGCGAACGGGUGAGUAACGCGUAGGUAACCUGCCUACUAGCGGGGGAUAACUAUUGGAAACGAUAGCUAAUACCGCAUAACAGUGUUUAACACAUGUUAGAUGCUUGAAAGAUGCAAUUGCAUCACUAGUAGAUGGACCUGCGUUGUAUUAGCUAGUUGGUGGGGUAACGGCCCACCAAGGCGACGAUACAUAGCCGACCUGAGAGGGUGAUCGGCCACGCUGGGACUGAGAAACGGCCCAGACUCCUACGGGAGGCAGCAGGAGGGAAGCUUCGGCGAUGGGGGCAACCCUGACCGAGCAACGCCGCGUGAGUGAAGAAGGUUUUCGGAUCGUAAAGCUCUGUUGUAAGAGAAGAACGUGUGUGAGAGUGGAAAGUUCACACAGUGACGGUAACUUACCAGAAAGGGACGGCUAACUACGUGCCAGCAGCCGCGGUAA
RNAcentral lists this ribosomal RNA (513 nucleotides) under uncultured bacterium. RNAcentral describes it as "partial 16S ribosomal RNA". It matches the Rfam family "Bacterial small subunit ribosomal RNA", at positions 28 to 523 of the family's 1533-position model. The record is from RNAcentral.